This is a long non-coding RNA of Prosopis cineraria, 402 nucleotides long. RefSeq lists it as uncharacterized. The transcript has 3 exons. The record is from RefSeq and is a predicted model, not a curated record. NCBI's taxonomy places the organism in Eukaryota, Viridiplantae, Streptophyta, Magnoliopsida, Fabales, Fabaceae.
UGUGAGGUUAAUUAGUGCCGGAAAAAUACUGGAAAACAACAGAACGGUGGGGGAAUGCCAGAGUCCAUUAUGUGAUAUCCCAGGUGGAGUUACAACAAUGCAUGUGGUCGUGCAGACUCCUUCUGGGGAUAAAGAGAAGAAACCAAGAAGGGAGCCAAAGCCGAACAAGUGUGGUUGUGUAAUAUUAUAGCACUCCCGGCUGAAGAGAUCAAAGAUGACAUCGUUCCUAGGUAAAGAGAAAUUGGCCUGGUGAAGAUUGUGAUGCUAGUUAUGUGGUGGUGGUUUCCUCUACGACAGUAAAUCCUGUACACAAUUUUCAUAGGUGAUGUUUUCCUUGGUGGUGUUUCAUUGUUGGGUUGGCAAAUUGUUUGUUGAAAUGAAAUCAACUAUAUACGUUGCCUU